GAUGAAGAACGCAGCGAAAUGCGAUACGUAAUGUGAAUUGCAGAAUUCAGUGAAUCAUCGAGUCUUUGAACGCACAUUGCGCCCCCUGGUAUUCCGGGGGGCAUGCCUGUCCGAGCGUCAUUGCUGCCCUCAAGCACGGCUUGUGUGUUGGGCCUCCGUCCUCCUCCCGGGGGACGGGCCCGAAAGGCAGCGGCGGCACCGCGUCCGGUCCUCGAGCGUAUGGGGCUUCGUCACCCGCUCUUGUAGNNNNGGCCGGCGCUUGCCGACACAUCAAUCUUUUUUCCAGGUUGACCUCGGAUCAGGUAGGGAUACCCGCUGAACUUAAGCAUAUCAAUAAGCGGAGGA
RNAcentral lists this unclassified non-coding RNA (345 nucleotides) under soil metagenome. RNAcentral describes it as "partial contains 5.8S ribosomal RNA, internal transcribed spacer 2, and large subunit ribosomal RNA". The stretch from base 1 to 120 matches the Rfam family "5.8S ribosomal RNA", at positions 35 to 154 of the family's 154-position model. The record is from RNAcentral.